AUUGAACGCUGGCGGCAUGCCUAACACAUGCAAGUCGAACGAGUGGCGGACGGGUGAGUAAUGUCUGGGAAACUGCCUGAUGGAGGGGGAUAACUACUGGAAACGGUAGCUAAUACCGCAUACCAUCGGAUGUGCCCAGAUGGGAUUAGCUAGUCGGUGGGGUAACGGCUCACCUAGGCGACGAUCCCUAGCUGGUCUGAGAGGAUGACCAGCCACACUGGAACUGAGACACGGCCCAGACUCCUACGGGAGGCAGCAGUAGGGAAUAUUGCGCAAUGGGCGCAAGUCUGAUGCAGCAAUGCCGCGUGUAUGAAGAAGGCCUUCGGGUUGUAAAGUUCUUUCAUCGGGGAAGCGUUACCCGCAGAGGAAGCACCGGCUAACUCCGUGCCAGCAGCCGCGGUAAUUC
This 406-nucleotide ribosomal RNA is filed under the name uncultured bacterium. RNAcentral describes it as "partial 16S ribosomal RNA". It matches the Rfam family "Bacterial small subunit ribosomal RNA", at positions 30 to 526 of the family's 1533-position model. The record is from RNAcentral.